CACUCCUGCGGGAGGCAGCAGUGGGGAAUAUUGCACAAUGGGCGCAAGCCUGAUGCAGCCAUGCCGCGUGUAUGAAGAAGGCCUUCGGGUUGUAAAGUACUUUCAGCGGGGAGGAAGGCAAUACGGUUAAUAACCGUGUUGAUUGACGUUACCCGCAGAAGAAGCACCGGCUAACUCCGUGCCAGCAGCCGCGGUAAUACGGAGGGUGCAAGCGUUAAUCGGAAUUACUGGGCGUAAAGCGCACGCAGGCGGUCUGUCAAGUCGGAUGUGAAAUCCCCGGGCUCAACCUGGGAACUGCAUUCGAAACUGGCAGGCUUGAGUCUUGUAGAGGGGGGUAGAAUUCCAGGUGUAGCGGUGAAAUGCGUAGAGAUCUGGAUGAAUACCGGUGGCGAAGGCGGCCCCCUGGACAAAGACUGACGCUCAGGUGCGAAAGCGUGGGGAGCAAACAGGAUUAGAAACCCCUGUAGUCCCAUGAU
Molecule: ribosomal RNA, 476 nt
Filed under: uncultured organism
Description: partial 16S ribosomal RNA
Rfam family: Bacterial small subunit ribosomal RNA
Source: RNAcentral